This is a non-coding RNA of Phrynosoma platyrhinos (Desert horned lizard), 72 nucleotides long. Lineage: Eukaryota; Metazoa; Chordata; Lepidosauria; Squamata; Phrynosomatidae. The record is from the annotation of a GenBank genome assembly.
GCCAGUGUGGCAUAGUGGUUUGAGCAUUGGACUAUGAUUCUGAAGACCAGGUUUCAAUUCCCAACGUGGCCA